GGAGGGGCCUCUGGUGGCGGUCGGGAACUGGUGGGGGAGGCGGCAACAUUGUUUCAAGUUGGACAAAUUGACAAGAGCCAGACGUAGACUGCGUUCCAUCCCGACCUGGGGCCACGGUGCUGAGCUGUUUCCCCCUCCUCCGCCUCCGAGAGUUGGGGCCCGCUUUCUGCAGGGUUCCCAGGCCCCCGCUCCAGGGCCGGGCGACCCUACUCCUGU
This 216-nucleotide long non-coding RNA is filed under the name Marmota monax (woodchuck). The record is from RNAcentral. Lineage: Eukaryota; Metazoa; Chordata; Mammalia; Rodentia; Sciuridae.